This 253-nucleotide ribosomal RNA is filed under the name uncultured bacterium. Its description in RNAcentral is "partial 16S ribosomal RNA". It matches the Rfam family "Archaeal small subunit ribosomal RNA", at positions 474 to 727 of the family's 1478-position model. The record is from RNAcentral.
UACCAGCACCCCGAGUGGUCGGGACGAUUAUUGGGCCUAAAGCAUCCGUAGCCGGUCAUGCAAGUCUUCCGUUAAAUCCAGCCGCUCAACGGUUGGGCUGCGGAGGAUACUACGUGGCUAGGAGGCGGGAGAGGCAAGCGGUACUCAGUGGGUAGGGGUAAAAUCCUUUGAUCCAUUGAAGACCACCAGUGGCGAAGGCGGCUUGCCAGAACGCGCUCGACGGUGAGGGAUGGAAGCUGGGGGAGCAAACCGG